AUUCCAGCUCCAAUAGCGUAUACUAAAGUUGUUGCAGUUAAAAAGCUCGUAGUUGAAUUUCUGGAUGUGAAAGGUGGUCGGCACCUCACGGUGUCUGUACUUAUCAUUCGCGUCCAUCCUCGGGAGGAACAUGUGGACACUUAAGUGGGUCUGCUUGGGAAUCUCGUCAUUUACUGUGAGCAAAAUAGAGUGUUCAAAGCAGGCUUAUGCCGUUGAAUAUAUUAGCAUGGAAUAAUAAGAUACGACUUUGGUCUAUUUUGUUGGUUUACAUUCCAAAGUAAUGAUUAAUAGGGAUAGUUGGGGGUAUUCGUAUUCAAUUGUCAGAGGUGAAAUUCUUGGAUUUAUGGAAGACGAACUACUGCGAAAGCAUUUACCAAGGAUGUUUUCAUUA
This 391-nucleotide ribosomal RNA is filed under the name Chrysophyceae sp. Its description in RNAcentral is "partial small subunit ribosomal RNA". It matches the Rfam family "Eukaryotic small subunit ribosomal RNA", at positions 582 to 975 of the family's 1831-position model. Lineage: Eukaryota; Chrysophyceae. The record is from RNAcentral.